RNAcentral lists this long non-coding RNA (407 nucleotides) under Ananas comosus (pineapple). RNAcentral's name for it is "long non-coding RNA (ACOM_LNC019168)". Lineage: Eukaryota; Viridiplantae; Streptophyta; Magnoliopsida; Poales; Bromeliaceae. The record is from RNAcentral.
CCCACUAACAACACAACAUCAUAUCUCUCUCUCUCUCUCUCUCUCUCUCUCUCUCUCUCUCUCCACUCUUGGUGCGCCACGUCGCCCAAUAGUCUGCUCUAGCUACAGUCCCAUGCUAUACAACUCACUUAACCACUUUCUUUUGCGUUGCGUUUGAUUCGGGUAUAAGUAAGAACUAUUUAUUCUAGAAAUAAAUACAAAUUCAGGUAUAAAUGAGAACUAAACUAAUUUUACGUUUGUAUAAAAAUUAGGUUGUUUUCAGAAAUAAGAAAAAUAAUAUUUGGAUAGAUAAGAUAGAAUAAGAAGAAUAGUGGAUAGUUAUAAAUAGAAAAUAAUGAUAUUGCCUCUCUCAUUAUAUUUGAAUUUGAAUUUUUAUAUUUUACAUUUAUAGUUUUAAAUUUAAAAUU